UACGGGGGGGGCAAGCGUUGUUCGGAAUUACUGGGCGUAAAGAGCUCGUAGGUGGCCGCUUUAGUCCGACGUGAAAUCCCUCGGCUCAACCGGGGAACUGCGUCGGAGACUGGGCGGCUUGAAUCCGGGAGAGGGACGUGGAAUUCCAGGUGUAGCGGUGAAAUGCGUAGAUAUCUGGAGGAACACCGGUGGCGAAGGCGGCGUCCUGGACCGGCAUUGACACUGAGGAGCGAAAGCCAGGGUAGCAAACGGG
Molecule: ribosomal RNA, 253 nt
Filed under: uncultured bacterium
Lineage: Bacteria
Description: partial 16S ribosomal RNA
Rfam family: Bacterial small subunit ribosomal RNA
Source: RNAcentral